RNAcentral lists this ribosomal RNA (1234 nucleotides) under metagenome. RNAcentral's name for it is "bacterial SSU rRNA". It matches the Rfam family "Bacterial small subunit ribosomal RNA", at positions 254 to 1498 of the family's 1533-position model. The record is from RNAcentral.
GGGGUAACGGCCCACCAAGGCAACGAUCAGUAGGGGUUCUGAGAGGAAGGUCCCCCACAUUGGAACUGAGACACGGUCCAAACUCCUACGGGAGGCAGCAGUGAGGAAUAUUGGUCAAUGGGCGAGAGCCUGAACCAGCCAAGUAGCGUGCAGGAAGACGGCCCUAUGGGUUGUAAACUGCUUUUAUAAGGGAAUAAAGUGAGUCUCGUGAGACUUUUUGCAUGUACCUUAUGAAUAAGGACCGGCUAAUUCCGUGCCAGCAGCCGCGGUAAUACGGAAGGUCCGGGCGUUAUCCGGAUUUAUUGGGUUUAAAGGGAGCGUAGGCCGGAGAUUAAGCGUGUUGUGAAAUGUAGACGCUCAACGUCUGCACUGCAGCGCGAACUGGUUUCCUUGAGUACGCACAAAGUGGGCGGAAUUCGUGGUGUAGCGGUGAAAUGCUUAGAUAUCACGAAGAACUCCGAUUGCGAAGGCAGCUCACUGGAGCGCAACUGACGCUGAAGCUCGAAAGUGCGGGUAUCGAACAGGAUUAGAUACCCUGGUAGUCCGCACGGUAAACGAUGGAUGCCCGCUGUUGGUCUGAACAGGUCAGCGGCCAAGCGAAAGCAUUAAGCAUCCCACCUGGGGAGUACGCCGGCAACGGUGAAACUCAAAGGAAUUGACGGGGGCCCGCACAAGCGGAGGAACAUGUGGUUUAAUUCGAUGAUACGCGAGGAACCUUACCCGGGCUUGAAUUGCAGAGGAAGGAUUUGGAGACAAUGACGCCCUUCGGGGUCUCUGUGAAGGUGCUGCAUGGUUGUCGUCAGCUCGUGCCGUGAGGUGUCGGCUUAAGUGCCAUAACGAGCGCAACCCCUCUCCUUAGUUGCCAUCAGGUUAAGCUGGGCACUCUGGGGACACUGCCACCGUAAGGUGUGAGGAAGGUGGGGAUGACGUCAAAUCAGCACGGCCCUUACGUCCGGGGCUACACACGUGUUACAAUGGCAGGUACAGAGAGACGGUCCCUUGCAAAACGGAUCAAAUCCUUAAAGCCUGUCUCAGUUCGGACUGGGGUCUGCAACCCGACCCCACGAAGCUGGAUUCGCUAGUAAUCGCGCAUCAGCCAUGGCGCGGUGAAUACGUUCCCGGGCCUUGUACACACCGCCCGUCAAGCCAUGAAAGCCGGGGGCGCCUAAAGUCCGUGACCGUAAGGAGCGGCCUAGGGCGAAACUGGUAAUUGGGGCUAAGUCGUAACAAGGUA